CCUACGGGUGGCAGCAGUGGGGAAUAUUGGGCAAUGGAGGCAACUCUUACCCAGCAAUGCCGCGUGAAUGAAGAAGGUCUUCGGAUUGUAAAGUUCUUUAAUUGGGGACGAAAAAAAUGACGGUACCCAAGGAAUAAGCCCCGGCUAACUACGUGCCAGCAGCCGCGGUAAUACGGAGGAUGCGAGCGUUAUCCGGAUUCAUUGGGUUUAAAGGGUGCGCAGGCGGGCCUUUAAGCCGGCGGUGAAAUCGCGGGGCUCAACCCCGCCGAGCCGUCGGAACUGGGGGCCUUGAGUGCGGCGGAGGCAUGCGGAAUGCGCGGUGUAGCGGUGAAAUGCAUAGAUAUCGCGCAGAACCCCGAUUGCGAAGGCAGCGUGCCGUGCCGCCACUGACGCUGAGGCACGAAAGCGCGGGGAUCGAACAGGAUUAGAUACCCCAGUAGUC
Molecule: ribosomal RNA, 442 nt
Filed under: uncultured bacterium
Lineage: Bacteria
Description: partial 16S ribosomal RNA
Rfam family: Bacterial small subunit ribosomal RNA
Source: RNAcentral